RNAcentral lists this transfer RNA (74 nucleotides) under Nitrososphaerota archaeon. RNAcentral describes it as "tRNA-Asp". The record is from RNAcentral. Lineage: Archaea; Thermoproteati; Nitrososphaerota.
GGUCGCGUGGUCUAAAGGCAUGAUCUCUGGCUGUCUACCAGAGGGUCCGGGAUCGGGGCCCGGCGCGACCGCCA